This 560-nucleotide ribosomal RNA is filed under the name Vibrio harveyi. RNAcentral's name for it is "bacterial SSU rRNA". It matches the Rfam family "Bacterial small subunit ribosomal RNA", at positions 105 to 661 of the family's 1533-position model. The record is from RNAcentral. Lineage: Bacteria; Pseudomonadati; Pseudomonadota; Gammaproteobacteria; Vibrionales; Vibrionaceae.
GGUGAGUAAUGCCUAGGAAAUUGCCCUGAUGUGGGGGAUAACCAUUGGAAACGAUGGCUAAUACCGCAUAAUGCCUACGGGCCAAAGAGGGGGACCUUCGGGCCUCUCGCGUCAGGAUAUGCCUAGGUGGGAUUAGCUAGUUGGUGAGGUAAUGGCUCACCAAGGCGACGAUCCCUAGCUGGUCUGAGAGGAUGAUCAGCCACACUGGAACUGAGACACGGUCCAGACUCCUACGGGAGGCAGCAGUGGGGAAUAUUGCACAAUGGGCGCAAGCCUGAUGCAGCCAUGCCGCGUGUGUGAAGAAGGCCUUCGGGUUGUAAAGCACUUUCAGUCGUGAGGAAGGUAGUGUAGUUAAUAGCUGCAUUAUUUGACGUUAGCGACAGAAGAAGCACCGGCUAACUCCGUGCCAGCAGCCGCGGUAAUACGGAGGGUGCGAGCGUUAAUCGGAAUUACUGGGCGUAAAGCGCAUGCAGGUGGUUUGUUAAGUCAGAUGUGAAAGCCCGGGGCUCAACCUCGGAAUUGCAUUUGAAACUGGCAGACUAGAGUACUGUAGAGGGGGG